Molecule: ribosomal RNA, 2315 nt
Filed under: Staphylococcus aureus
Lineage: Bacteria; Bacillati; Bacillota; Bacilli; Caryophanales; Staphylococcaceae
Description: partial 23S ribosomal RNA
Rfam family: Bacterial large subunit ribosomal RNA
Source: RNAcentral
AAAAGCACCCCGGAAGGGGAGUGAAAUAGAACCUGAAACCGUGUGCUUACAAGUAGUCAGAGCCCGUUAAUGGGUGAUGGCGUGCCUUUUGUAGAAUGAACCGGCGAGUUACGAUUUGAUGCAAGGUUAAGCAGUAAAUGUGGAGCCGUAGCGAAAGCGAGUCUGAAUAGGGCGUUUAGUAUUUGGUCGUAGACCCGAAACCAGGUGAUCUACCCUUGGUCAGGUUGAAGUUCAGGUAACACUGAAUGGAGGACCGAACCGACUUACGUUGAAAAGUGAGCGGAUGAACUGAGGGUAGCGGAGAAAUUCCAAUCGAACCUGGAGAUAGCUGGUUCUCUCCGAAAUAGCUUUAGGGCUAGCCUCAAGUGAUGAUUAUUGGAGGUAGAGCACUGUUUGGACGAGGGGCCCCUCUCGGGUUACCGAAUUCAGACAAACUCCGAAUGCCAAUUAAUUUAACUUGGGAGUCAGAACAUGGGUGAUAAGGUCCGUGUUCGAAAGGGAAACAGCCCAGACCACCAGCUAAGGUCCCAAAAUAUAUGUUAAGUGGAAAAGGAUGUGGCGUUGCCCAGACAACUAGGAUGUUGGCUUAGAAGCAGCCAUCAUUUAAAGAGUGCGUAAUAGCUCACUAGUCGAGUGACACUGCGCCGAAAAUGUACCGGGGCUAAACAUAUUACCGAAGCUGUGGAUUGUCCUUUGGACAAUGGUAGGAGAGCGUUCUAAGGGCGUUGAAGCAUGAUCGUAAGGACAUGUGGAGCGCUUAGAAGUGAGAAUGCCGGUGUGAGUAGCGAAAGACGGGUGAGAAUCCCGUCCACCGAUUGACUAAGGUUUCCAGAGGAAGGCUCGUCCGCUCUGGGUUAGUCGGGUCCUAAGCUGAGGCCGACAGGCGUAGGCGAUGGAUAACAGGUUGAUAUUCCUGUACCACCUAUAAUCGUUUUAAUCGAUGGGGGGACGCAGUAGGAUAGGCGAAGCGUGCGAUUGGAUUGCACGUCUAAGCAGUAAGGCUGAGUAUUAGGCAAAUCCGGUACUCGUUAAGGCUGAGCUGUGAUGGGGAGAAGACAUUGUGUCUUCGAGUCGUUGAUUUCACACUGCCGAGAAAAGCCUCUAGAUAGAAAAUAGGUGCCCGUACCGCAAACCGACACAGGUAGUCAAGAUGAGAAUUCUAAGGUGAGCGAGCGAACUCUCGUUAAGGAACUCGGCAAAAUGACCCCGUAACUUCGGGAGAAGGGGUGCUCUUUAGGGUUAACGCCCAGAAGAGCCGCAGUGAAUAGGCCCAAGCGACUGUUUAUCAAAAACACAGGUCUCUGCUAAACCGUAAGGUGAUGUAUAGGGGCUGACGCCUGCCCGGUGCUGGAAGGUUAAGAGGAGUGGUUAGCUUCUGCGAAGCUACGAAUCGAAGCCCCAGUAAACGGCGGCCGUAACUAUAACGGUCCUAAGGUAGCGAAAUUCCUUGUCGGGUAAGUUCCGACCCGCACGAAAGGCGUAACGAUUUGGGCACUGUCUCAACGAGAGACUCGGUGAAAUCAUAGUACCUGUGAAGAUGCAGGUUACCCGCGACAGGACGGAAAGACCCCGUGGAGCUUUACUGUAGCCUGAUAUUGAAAUUCGGCACAGCUUGUACAGGAUAGGUAGGAGCCUUUGAAACGUGAGCGCUAGCUUACGUGGAGGCGCUGGUGGGAUACUACCCUAGCUGUGUUGGCUUUCUAACCCGCACCACUUAUCGUGGUGGGAGACAGUGUCAGGCGGGCAGUUUGACUGGGGCGGUCGCCUCCUAAAAGGUAACGGAGGCGCUCAAAGGUUCCCUCAGAAUGGUUGGAAAUCAUUCAUAGAGUGUAAAGGCAUAAGGGAGCUUGACUGCGAGACCUACAAGUCGAGCAGGGUCGAAAGACGGACUUAGUGAUCCGGUGGUUCCGCAUGGAAGGGCCAUCGCUCAACGGAUAAAAGCUACCCCGGGGAUAACAGGCUUAUCUCCCCCAAGAGUUCACAUCGACGGGGAGGUUUGGCACCUCGAUGUCGGCUCAUCGCAUCCUGGGGCUGUAGUCGGUCCCAAGGGUUGGGCUGUUCGCCCAUUAAAGCGGUACGCGAGCUGGGUUCAGAACGUCGUGAGACAGUUCGGUCCCUAUCCGUCGUGGGCGUAGGAAAUUUGAGAGGAGCUGUCCUUAGUACGAGAGGACCGGGAUGGACAUACCUCUGGUGUACCAGUUGUCGUGCCAACGGCAUAGCUGGGUAGCUAUGUGUGGACGGGAUAAGUGCUGAAAGCAUCUAAGCAUGAAGCCCCCCUCAAGAUGAGAUUUCCCAACUUCGGUUAUAAGAUCCCU